GGUGGCUCAGUGGUAGAGUACUUGCCUUGCAUGCAUGAGACCCUGGGUUCAAUUCCUCAGCACCA
Non-coding RNA from Dipodomys ordii (Ord's kangaroo rat), 65 nucleotides. Lineage: Eukaryota; Metazoa; Chordata; Mammalia; Rodentia; Heteromyidae. The record is from Rfam.